CUGACUCAGAGCAGCACCGCCGCUUCGCACGCGAUGCUGCCGGCUCCCCCCAUCCUCCGCGGGCUCCCGGCGCCGCACGGGGAGAGCAGGCACGCUUGGGGGGCGGGAGCUGCCUGGGGAGGAGGACAAGGGGUCCCCAGCCCGGCCGGGGAUGCUCAGGGAGGCGGGAGUCAGGCAGGAGUGGCUGGAGGAAGGGAGGAGCAGUUUUACAGCCAUAAUCCCACUCUUUGGUGUGGCUGGGACAGGCCUCACUGUCUCUUGCAUUUCUUGGUGGUGCCUGAUAUUAAAAGUCCUGCCAGUGAAGGAUUGCUCUCUUUGGAGCGGAGCACAGAUCCUCCCAGGGUACCAGGGUUUAUGACUGACUCCCUUGAUGAAGCAAAU
This 381-nucleotide long non-coding RNA is filed under the name Chloebia gouldiae (Gouldian finch). Its description in RNAcentral is "Erythrura gouldiae (Gouldian finch) lncRNA (ENSEGOG00005015446.1)". The record is from RNAcentral. Lineage: Eukaryota; Metazoa; Chordata; Aves; Passeriformes; Passeridae.